RNAcentral lists this ribosomal RNA (868 nucleotides) under uncultured bacterium. RNAcentral's name for it is "bacterial SSU rRNA". It matches the Rfam family "Bacterial small subunit ribosomal RNA", at positions 28 to 896 of the family's 1533-position model. The record is from RNAcentral.
GAUGAACGCUAGCGGCAGGCCUAAUACAUGCAAGUCGAACGGUAAGUAUGAUAGCAAUAUUAUACGAGAGUGACGUACGGGUGCGUAACACGUAUGCAACCUACCCUUUACAGGCGGAUAGCUCGGGGAAACUCGAAUUAACCCGUCAUAAUAUAAUUGGAUGGCAUCAUUUGAUUAUUAAAACUCCGGUGGUAAAGGAUGGGCAUGCGUCUGAUUAGUUAGUUGGCGGGGUAACGGCCCACCAAGACGAUGAUCAGUAGGGGAACUGAGAGGUUGAUCCCCCACACUGGCACUGAGAUACGGGCCAGACUCCUACGGGAGGCAGCAGUAGGGAAUAUUGGUCAAUGGAUGGAAGUCUGAACCAGCCAUGCCGCGUGCAGGAAGAAGGCCUUCUGGGUUGUAAACUGCUUUUGCCAGGGGAUAAAAUUUCCUUGCGAGGAAAAUUGGAGGUACCUGGUGAAUAAGCCACGGCUAACUACGUGCCAGCAGCUGCGGUAAUACGUAGGUGGCAAGCGUUGUCCGGAUUUAUUGGGUUUAAAGGGUGCGUAGGCGGCUUUGUAAGUCAGUGGUGAAAUAUCGCAGCUUAACUGUGAGGGUGCCAUUGAUACUGCAGAGCUUGAGUACAGAUGAGGUAGGCGGAAUGGACGGUGUAGCGGUGAAAUGCUUAGAUAUCGUCAAGAACACCUAUAUCGAAGGCAGCUUACUAGGCUGUAACUGACGCUGAGGCACGAAAGUGUGGGGAUCAAACAGGAUUAGAUACCCUGGUAGUCCACACUGUAAACGUUGAUUACUCGCUGUGUGCGAUAUACAGUACGCGGCCAAGCGAAAGCGAUAAGUAAUCCACCUGGGGAGUACGCCGGCAACGGUG